GGGCCAGUGAUCUAGUUUGGUAGGUCUAAGAUGCCCGCUUGACGUGCGGGAAAUCGGGAGUUCAAUUCUCCCCUGGCCCA
Molecule: transfer RNA, 80 nt
Filed under: Promethearchaeota archaeon
Lineage: Archaea; Promethearchaeati; Promethearchaeota
Description: Candidatus Lokiarchaeota archaeon tRNA-Val
Rfam family: tRNA
About the family: Transfer RNA (tRNA) molecules are approximately 80 nucleotides in length. Their secondary structure includes four short double-helical elements and three loops (D, anti-codon, and T loops). Further hydrogen bonds mediate the characteristic L-shaped molecular structure. tRNAs have two regions of fundamental functional importance: the anti-codon, which is responsible for specific mRNA codon recognition, and the 3' end, to which the tRNAs corresponding amino acid is attached (by aminoacyl-tRNA synthetases). tRNAs cope with the degeneracy of the genetic code in two manners: having more than one tRNA (with a specific anti-codon) for a particular amino acid; and 'wobble' base-pairing, i.e. permitting non-standard base-pairing at the 3rd anti-codon position.
Source: RNAcentral